RNAcentral lists this ribosomal RNA (354 nucleotides) under uncultured bacterium. Its description in RNAcentral is "bacterial SSU rRNA". It matches the Rfam family "Bacterial small subunit ribosomal RNA", at positions 527 to 881 of the family's 1533-position model. The record is from RNAcentral.
GUAGGGUGCAAGCGUUAAUCGGAAUUACUGGGCGUAAAGCGUGCGCAGGCGGUUAUAUAAGACAGAUGUGAAAUCCCCGGGCUCAACCUGGGAACUGCAUUUGUGACUGUAUAGCUAGAGUACGGCAGAGGGGGAUGGAAUUCCGCGUGUAGCAGUGAAAUGCGUAGAUAUGCGGAGGAACACCGAUGGCGAAGGCAAUCCCCUGGGCCUGUACUGACGCUCAUGCACGAAAGCGUGGGGAGCAAACAGGAUUAGAUACCCUGGUAGUCCACGCCCUAAGCGAUGUCAACUGGUUGUUGGGAAUUCAUUUUCUCAGUAACGAAGCUAACGCGUGAAGUUGACCGCCUGGGGAGU